UGCAGCCAAGAAAGGAGGGAAAAGCAUAGGCACAAGGAGAUGUCUUGUACCUUGUGUGUAUAAAUACCCAAACUACAGUAUUAAAGGUGACUAUUAGUUUGAGCUCAUCUUGUUUGUCUAUUCUACUGCCAGCUAUGUGGUACUAAGGCCUCUAAACGUGAAGAUUCACCUUUUUUGGGAACUAAAACAAGUAUCUUAAGGACUUGUAUCAACUCAAGCAGGAAAUCACUGUGUCCUCAAGCCAGCAUGGAAAACGAGUCUGCAGUUGAGAAACUUGUACCUGUGUGAAGUGGAGGUAAAUGAAGCUUUUAAGCAGGGCGGAGGGAAGGGGGACCGCUGAAAAGAUUAAUUGACUUUCUACAGAGCUUCACUUAUCCUCCUCUGGCACCUUUGACUUGCUAUGGUUAUAGCUGCUACCCCAGCAGGACCCCUUCUUGUCAGCCACUAAUGCUGUGACUGACAUCCAUCAACUAUGAGCCACCACAAGAUGGGUAAACAUGAUAGAGGGCAA
Long non-coding RNA from Astatotilapia calliptera (eastern happy), 511 nucleotides. The record is from Ensembl. Lineage: Eukaryota; Metazoa; Chordata; Actinopteri; Cichliformes; Cichlidae.